Molecule: non-coding RNA, 8194 nt
Organism: Phalacrocorax carbo (great cormorant)
Lineage: Eukaryota; Metazoa; Chordata; Aves; Suliformes; Phalacrocoracidae
Source: RefSeq, a predicted model, not a curated record
UGCACUUACCUGGCAAGGUUAAGGGACACGCUGCAUGGGACCCGAAACUGUGUUAAGUGUUCAUCUUCCCAGUUUACAGAAUGACAAUGACGGCCCCAGAAUGCAAGGAUGGGAACGAAACUGUACAAGCCUCUGCCUGCAUUCCCAUCUUUUAUUAAAAAAGCCAAAGCCACUAACAACAGAAACGCACAACAUGGGUAGUUAGUCCUUAUCUGUUAAGUAAGGAAACCUAAUCGAAGGCUUUCAACAAGCUUUGUUUGGGCAUUUUUCUGCCCUACCUACAUCAAUUAUUUCUACCCAAAAUGUACGUUAAAACAAAAGAAAAUGACACAUGAUACUGAACGGGGUUCACAAGUCAAAAGCAGAAAUGAGAAAUAUUUACUGACUUGAUCUGCACUAAAAAAAAAAAGCCAACCAACAACAACAAAAAUCAAACAAAUAAAAAGGUGAAGGAAAAACCCCCAAAGCAUAUCACGAGAACGGGAUCAGACAAGAAAGCGAGGCCACCCCUUCAUGACCAGGGGAGAAUUAACCUGCAUGUCUCCAUCCCAUUUGCAAGCUUACGACUCUGCCACCCAUUUUGUUUCAGAUUAAAGGAAAAAAAAAUUUUAAAUAGAUGAUGUCAAUAGAAGAGAAGACAACCCUCCACCCCCAGGGUAGAUGCCCUCGGUGUCUCUGCCUCGCAGGGCAGGUGAGCCCGCCGCAGGUGCCCUCCUCAGGCAUGUCCCUCUCCCGCCGCCGCCCAGGCCAUGCCCCAGUACACGUAGUUCUUGGACAUGCUGAGAACCAGCUGGCUCGUGAAACCUUCUGCUGCCCAAUGCUUUUCUGGGAAGCCACCUCUGGUUCCAGCUGCCAAUACUGCUGAACCGCUGGAGCCACAUCCCUGGGCUCUUGAGAUGUUGUGGCAGCAAAAAAGGCACUGCAAGAGCCCGCGGCUGACAGCUCCUGACAUUUUUGCUUUGUCCAUGCACAUUGACACUGGUGUUUCGCUUGCAGCUACCCCUCAGCUGAAGCCUGUCACUUGGAGAGAUGGUCCCCAACCAGGGAUUUGCCACCUUGCAUCAAGUUCAUGCACGGCUGUUCAAAGCUGGGGCAAUAAAGGGCAGCUUCUGUUGACAGAUGUGUACAGGCAGGACCAAUCUACUUCCAAAAGGUGGUGGACAUGGUGCACAAAAUAAUUUUUAAAUCCAUUAGAGGAAUUUUGUAGAACAAAUAAAACAGGUUUUCUUAAGCCACCUCCACUGGGAGUUCAAAUGAAGAUCCUUUACUUUGCCAAAGAGCAGGCAGCAGCACCCUUGUGGUUGCUUACUCAUAUCUCAGCAGAAGUGAUAGCAGAGAGAGAACCCCUGUUUUAACCUUCCAUUGCCUGAACCCACCUGCAAACAGUUCUGAGAACAUCCACAAUGUGCUUAAAGGGGGAGGACGGUCAUUACUUUCAUCCGCUACUUCCCCAUGACUCAUUUAAUGCCUCAUGUGAACAUACAGUAACAGUGAUGUCAGGAAUGAUAGAAAAACGAUUGCUGCAGAAUCAACCUCCUCUAGCAAGUGGCAAAAGACAAAAUAAAUGAGCGUGGUGCUGAGGCACGAGUUAAAGGUCAAAAUCGGCAGCACCACAACCAGCCCUUUACAAAGCUGCUUCUCAAAUCGAACUGUCCGAAUCACGCUGGGCAGACGCCGGGAAUUGUCUUUCACACACAGCUAGAAAAAGAACUCCCUGAGGCAGGAGGGAGACCUGGGCCCAAACCAAAGCUGAACAGGCAACUCACGAGCUGGAAACUGUCUGUGGCAAUACUUUUCAGUUCCUUCUUCCUCCGACAGCUGUACUAAUGCUUGUCACAGGAGUGCAAACCAGGCAAUUAUAGCAAGCAUGGAUGCCACAGGGCUGGACAGGCUCACUAUUUAUAGUUCCCCACUGACAGAGCUUUCCCACUGUGCCGCUGCACACAGGUUAAGGUACAGUCCAUGCCUUGAAAGGCUCACAGUCUAAAUAAAAAUAGAAAGAGGAAGGACUACCAGCCCCUUUUAUGAUGAAAGCCAAGACUCAGCGAUGAAAAGAUAAAAAGGAAAUCCACGGCAGAGCCUGGAACAAUGGACUCCAACUUCUCCCCCAAAAAUUGCCCUUUAUUUUGUUAACUCCUUCCCUGCCUGAAGUGCCACCUCUCCACUACCCAUAAUUGGAGCCAAACUGUCCAGCACAGUGUCACUGAAGUGUUCUUCCAAGCUCUGCCCUAUCUUGCCAUGGUUAAAUUAUCUUCCCUCCAGCAGAGGUGGGAGAAGGGAUGCGCGCCUGCUCCUAACUCCCCGAGAGCUGGGCCCGUGCCCCACUGGGAGGGUGGGGAGCAUCGGAGCAGGACAGCACCCUGGUACGCUGACCCUGCUAAAGGGAUGAUAAACUCCCCGGAGUGGAGCAGGCUGUCAGCUUCAAGCCUUCAGUAUCUCAGCCGACUGCGGAUGCAAGUCAAAGAUAGUCUCCUUUAUUUCAUAGGAGGGAUUAAAACGCGAGCUGUCUCUAAGCUGAACUUUGAAGUGUCUUCUUAGCAAUUGGAAAUGCAGUCGCUCAACAAAGAGAAACCUUUGCAAAUAGAGUUUUUUUUUUUAAUUUGAAGUUGGAGACCAACCAUUGGCCUAUUUUUAGUCAUACAUUUGAACUGGCCAUGUUACAAUCCUGCCUCUGUUCUCAUGCAAUAGAAGGCAAAGAGGAUUCACUUGACCUGCAGUGUACAGAGAAAAUAAGGCAUUUGUCUGGGAAAGAACCACCCAAAAUAGCAGUGAAGAAACCACGCUGUGACAUGAACUGUUAAGAGUUGAGACAAGAAAAAUGAAUAUUAUAGGAGGUGUUAGACUUUUUCGGAUGACAUUAAUGUAAACAAUUGCUAGAAAUUUAUAUGGUGAUGCUAACUGGUAUUUGCAGGUUUAAGGACCUGCUAAUCUUUCCCUUUUACACUGAAUACACUACAUGUAUGAGAAGAAGAAAUAAUCCUUGCUGAGGUGAGCUCUCGGCUUUCUUCAAGGAUUCUUUCUACAUCUACCUGACUUUACCUUUGCUAAAUGUGGCUUUUGGCUCGGAAACUGAUGCUCUUGCAUGGCCAAACCCUCCCUGGGCAGCGGGGUUUUGGCCAAUUGGUUUGACCGCUUGCUUUAGACAUGACGCAACACAGUAUGACAAAUGCAAGCAAACAUCAGGAUGGAGCGCAAUGGAAAUGCUGCAUCCUAUCUGACAGGUCAGUGGGAGGGAGAGGAAUUAUUUGUCCUGGUAAUAGUACAUGGAAAAGCACAGAGGCGGGGGGUGGGAUGCAUUUGCAAACAUCUCAUGUUCCCUAAACUUUUUACGGCCCCCUCAUUAGGUUUUGCAAUGUCCUAAAGCAGACAAUUAUUACUAUAUCCAUUUUCUGUCUUUCCCCUCCUUCAAGCAGCUUUUCAAGCUGGGGAAAGAACGCAGAAGACCUGACUGCGGAUGUAUUAGCUUCCCGCUAUCACGUCAGCGAGACUGUGUGAACCACGCAUUUCCCACUGACAUGGAAAGAAAGGUUAAAACCUUGCAUGACAGGUUAACAGCAUGAUUUGCAGCAACGGCUUAAAUGAAUGGUUGCAGGCACGAAAGACUAGCAGGCAGCUAAUCUUUUAAAGACUUAAGAGCAGCUACUACUUCAGUCCAAGUAAAUAUUUCAAAACAAAUUUAACUAGUGGCGACUAGAGGAUUUUUUCCCCCCUUCAACAACCCAGGCUGAAAUGGUGAUUCCUCCACAGAACUUAUGUUUUCAGUGCCAAAACUGCUAUUUCACAGGAGCAGAAAGGGUCCUCUCGUGGAAGAUUCAUCGCAAUUUUGUUCCUUACUGUAAUUGCAGCAGGGCUGGAAGAGCUGUCUGUGAAUCUCAUAGGUCCGUGUUACUGUCAGAGAGGCAAGCUCCAAGAGCAGCCUUGAUGCGGCUCCAGGGGUGGAGGACAGCAUCCAACAGAGGUACAGCAUAGAGGAAGGAAGUGUUUGCUUCCUGAUCCUUGUCACGAGUAAACUCUGUCCAUGCAGGCCACAAAAAAGACCUCCUAAUAAUGACCUUACUUCCAAUUAAAAGAAGUUUCUUAACACUUUCCUAGACACAGGUGAAAGCAUGGAAGGAAAGGCCUCCAGGUAAAAUGUACUUAACCAGUACAAAUCAAAGUCUGCCUGAGCCUGGAGAAGCAAAACAGUCAAUGAAGUGAUUUGGAAACAAUAAUUUCUAAUCCACAAUUAACCUUUUUUUCCCCCAAGAUCUCUCCCCCCUCCCACCUCCUUGACCCUUGGCUCCAUCUCGGAACAAAGCCAAUUCUCUUGGGAGGGAGGAAUCUGUUAUGGCUCGCUGAACUGUCUGGGCUAUUUUUAGUUAAAUCCAGCAUUCCUAAAAAUCUCCAGCUGCUUGUGUCUUAAGGAAGGAGAAAGGAAACGCUGUGAACGUGCACAUCCACAUUUCACACGGGGAGCGCAGAGCACAGCACGCCAGCUGCCUCGCAGCACGAGAGCUUAGCUGGGCUGAACACAGAGCUCUAGGAAAAAGGCAAAGACGAUUUCUUUUCACCAGGUAGAGAAGGCAGAAAAUGAAGGCAGGAUUGAUGACUUCCCCGAGCUGGAAGAGGCAAACCAAAGGUCUCUGCUAGCAGUAGGGAGGCCAGAGAGAUCUGAGGGCCAGGCAAUUAGCACUUACCCAUUAAACUGAUGAGCUGUGGCUCCAGAGUACAGCAACGAGGAGAGCGCCAAGUGGAAAGGCUGGAUCAGCCAAGGAGCCCAGGAGGUGCUUUGUAGGUAGAGAGCUUGCUGGGAAGAGCAGGACAAACACCCCAAGGGAUGGGCCAGGGCAAGCUGAAGGAGCAGUUUUGGGAGAGGCAGAAGAUGCGAGGGGCAGUUGUAUGAAUGGGCUGAUGCUUGGGACUUUUAAGGACUAGGCGUGAGGGGGAGGAGUAUGGAGAGAGCACAGAGAAACUUGUUUUAGACCACGGCGUAAGUGGAGCGCAGCACAAAUCUGAUUAGAAGGGACAAAACUGUUGUGCCGAGUCAUUUCUUCCUGCCCUGCAGGGUUUUUACGUUGUCUUUUACGUUAAGCAAAAUCCAUACUGCUGUAAGAGUAGCAGUACAGCACUGAGCCUCUCAGUGGCAAAUGUUGCUGAAUUUGGCUAAUUGCCGUUGACAGAAAGCAAGCAAACCCCGAGCGCAGGGGCUGGUCUAAGUGUUCCUGCAUGACGGGUACCAGAAAAGCACUAGAGAUGCUGUUGCAGAUUGUGCUGUUUGCUCAAACAAAGCAUUUGCUUUAUGGCUCUAUUUAUAGCACGAGGGUCGUAGCCAGUGUGCGCCAAGUGAGUCAUCACAUUUUCUCCCCCAAAUCUCCGCAGAUGUUUCACACAACUUCUAAGAUAUGUUUAAGUAACCUGCUGGCCAGCCCAGCCUCCUUACAAACACCCCACACUGCGGACAAACAUCCAGCCAGGCCUCGUGGAUGAGGUUAUCAAAAGAGGAAAAUACAAAUCACUGCUGAGAAAAGACAAACAAGGAAUUAGAAGUUCGUUUCCUCUUGCUACAUCACCAUGGGACCAGCAAUAGGCCUUGCUCUUCUCCCCAUCCCUUGAACCUUCAUCAGCACAAGCACAUGGAGAAUCUCAGAGAGAAGGAUCAGCAGGGAUGCCAAAAAAAAAUAUAUAGCUCAAGUAAAGUUGCUGCCUGGAGUACUUAACACCUGCUUCCCCAGGGCUGGACCGCAGUGCCUGCAGCUGCGUCCCUAUAGAGGAAUCAUGUCUCUUUACAAGGCUUUUUGUAUGGACAGAUGCAAAAUCAUGAGCCCGUAAAAAGCACAACAUUGCUGGCUCCAUGAGCCUUAAAACAAACAAGAAUUGAGAGACCAGGAUAGGGUGAUAAGCGCUUCAGGGCUGCAGCUUCACUUGGACUCAAAGCUCAGACACCAUCUCCAGGCUGGUGAAACACCUCACCACUCCCUUUGUCACUUCAAGCAACCUACAGAAGCACACUUUGAGCCUCUUCAAGGGUUUGAGAGCCAUUUGCACAACGCUUUGGAUAAUUCUGGCUCUUCCUAUUGCUCCUUUCCACUGCUGAGUUUAUCUCCAUCCCUCCUGUUUUUGCCAUAAGCCCCUUUCAGGCAGGCAUCCUUCUACAGAUCUCCCAAAAGGGACGUUAGCCAUGACCUUGGAGAUGCAGCAUCAGAUGCGAUGCUUGCUGCAAACCCUCGCUGUCCUCAGCCUUAUGCAGUGCCCGCGUUGGCAGAGACCAUCGCACUGCUUUUAGCAGCAUCGCCGGGUGCGAUGCCUCUCCUGGGAGCCCCCCGAGGUCCCCCAGCCAGCACGUGGGUAGCAGGUUGACUCCUUAGCUCUCCACUUGAAUGUCACCACUCGGUACAAGUCUGCUGCCUGACUUCCCUCCUCGGUGGAAGCUGGCUGUGGGAAGCAUUAGAAAAGUAGUUACACAUGGCAUCUUUGAGCCAGGAGCCAGUGGUGGUCAUCUCUCUCUCUCAGCUGGUGGCAUUUGCACCACCGACAGUGGUAAGGAGCCUCCUGGGGAGGAAAGGACAGGCCCCAUUCUGCCUUGGGGAGCACAAGAUGCUAUGAAAAGCGAGACCUUGCAAGCAAGGAGCAGAGAAAGAGCCAUUUUGGAUUUAGCAUCAGUUUCCAGGGCUUGUAGUUAGUGUCUGCAGCUACCCAAGGUUGCCUCCACUGCUACCUUGUUUGCUCCCCGCAGUUUGUUCACCUAGAUGUUUUGAACAGCUUGUCUACAAAAGGGAAGUUUCCUGUGAUGUGAGGAUUCUUGGGAACUUCAAUUAGCUUUGUUCACUCCAGAGAGUAAAAAAAAAAUAAAAUGAUCAAGAUAAUUACUUAAAAUGAGUUUUUGCUUUUGUAAAUUAUACACUGUAAAUUAUUUCUCUGGGACUGCUGGUAGCUCAGGCCAGAGGACUCUAGAAUGACAUUGCCAAAUGUCUUUCCAGCAACUUUAUGGUAUUAAAUUAAGUACAUAAUUGUACAAAUACACCCUACAACAGCAACAGAAGAACAUCACCGAGGAUACAUGAAUUUAAGCACUCGUAAAUAGAGCAAAGCCUAAAAUAUGGGCGCCUGUUCUUUCACCAGAGCUUCUGUGCAUAAUAACACCACAUCAAGCUAUAUAAAUGCUGACUAUUUUUUUCUCCGAGACAGCUGCCUUGCCGAGUGCCCAGAAUGGAUGAUGCUCAAUAAAGGAAAUAGCUAUUCAAUAUUAUCCUCAUUCAUCAGCGUUCGGCCAGUGCCUUACUUGUCAUGCAAGCCCUGCUCUGGAACCAGAAACUUCUUCACAGCGUUUUCCCAUCACCCUCGCCACUGUGGUGAGUCAGUUCUCCCCAAACCCACAACACCCAUGAUCUUACAGAAGAGGAACUGAGGAGCAGAGCCAUUAACGGCAGGGUUUGGCGGGACCAGCUGACACCUGGGGUCAAGGGAAGGAUACAGCUACAGAGUCCGGGAGCUCAGGGAAGGCAGCCAAGGCAGCCACGCAAAGCACACGCACAGGUCCACAGGGCGGCAGGGGUGGGAUGAAAACUGACGAGAUGCUAUUGUGAUGUACCAGUGCAGAGGGACCGGAACAGCAGUGCAAUGGCCACAGCCCCAUUUGGGAGGAAAGCUUCAGCCUUCUGUAAUGUUUUAGCAAAUAAAAGAGCCGUCAGCACUGAUUACACUCAAACCUACACCAGAGUGGCACCGCUGCUGCAGUAUGGACCAGGCUCAGAAAAGCAAAGCGUUUGCAGUAAAUUUUUCCUCUCUCUUGAAAUAAAUGUAAACUCAUGUAUUUUGCAAGACAAAAUUGAACCCUGGCUAUUAGCUACACUACAGCUAAACGAUUAAUAGACAUUUGAUUAUCUAGAGACUUACACUCUGGAGGAAAACCAUGCUUAGAAUGAAAUAUGUCAACCUCAAGAAUGUAGUUGUCUCAAUCUACAUUUUCCCAGAGGUCAACAUACCUUUUCUUUCCCAGAAGUGCCUCCUGUUGUCCAAAUUAGAUAUAAAACAAUCCCUGUAGAGAGAAAAACUUCCCUGCAGCCAUCCCUCACACAGAAAGCCCUACGAGCAGUAGGGCAGUGACUGUUCUUAUUUAUACACUGUGCUGCCCGAGGACUUUGCUUCUGUCAAAUAAAAAAUAAAUUAACUGCUUGCCUUUCCUCCAGAAAUGCCAGCACGUUCUCCUGUCCUCUAC